RNAcentral lists this ribosomal RNA (497 nucleotides) under uncultured bacterium. RNAcentral's name for it is "partial 16S ribosomal RNA". It matches the Rfam family "Bacterial small subunit ribosomal RNA", at positions 28 to 507 of the family's 1533-position model. The record is from RNAcentral.
GACGAACGCUGGCGGCGUGCCUAAUACAUGCAAGUAGAACGCUGAUGAGAGGAGCUUGCUCUUCUUGGAUGAGUUGCGAACGGGUGAGUAACGCGUAGGUAACCUGCCUUGUAGCGGGGGAUAACUAUUGGAAACGAUAGCUAAUACCGCAUAACAAUGGAUGACACAUGUCAUUUAUUUGAAAGGGGCAAUUGCUACACUACAAGAUGGACCUGCGUUGUAUUAGCUAGUAGGUGAGGUAAUGGCUCACCUAGGCGACGAUACAUAGCCGACCUGAGAGGGUGAUCGGCCACACUGGGACUGAGACACGGCCCAGACUCCUACGGGAGGCAGCAGUAGGGAAUCUUCGGCAAUGGGGGCAACCCUGACCGAGCAACGCCGCGUGAGUGAAGAAGGUUUUCGGAUCGUAAAGCUCUGUUGUAAGUCAAGAACGGGUGUGAGAGUGGAAAGUUCACACUGUGACGGUAGCUUACCAGAAAGGGACGGCUAACUACGUG